RNAcentral lists this ribosomal RNA (247 nucleotides) under uncultured prokaryote. RNAcentral's name for it is "partial 16S ribosomal RNA". It matches the Rfam family "Bacterial small subunit ribosomal RNA", at positions 439 to 700 of the family's 1533-position model. The record is from RNAcentral.
CCAGAGAAGAAGUCAUGACGGUAUCUGGGGAAUAAGCAUCGGCUAACUUUUGUCCCCGCAGCCGCGGUAAGACAGAGGAUGCAAGCGUUACUCGGAAUGAUUGGGCGUAAAGCGUCUGUAGGGGGCUUUUUAAGUCUGCUGUCAAAUCCCAGGGCUUAACCCUGGCCAGGCGGGGGAGACUACGGAGCUUGAGUACGGUAGGGGCAGAGGGAAUUUCCGGAGGAGCGGUGAAAUGCGUAGAGAUCGG